ACUAUUAAACGGUAUGGGGUCUAAAUUUUGGAGUAUAUAUAUUUUUGAUAUUGCAAUUAAAGUAAAAUUAAAAAGAAAA
Molecule: unclassified non-coding RNA, 79 nt
Organism: Jaculus jaculus (lesser Egyptian jerboa)
Lineage: Eukaryota; Metazoa; Chordata; Mammalia; Rodentia; Dipodidae
Product: predicted gene, 27645
Source: Ensembl